This 26-nucleotide unclassified non-coding RNA is filed under the name Mus musculus (house mouse). Its description in RNAcentral is "oocyte_clustered_small_RNA3480". The record is from RNAcentral. Lineage: Eukaryota; Metazoa; Chordata; Mammalia; Rodentia; Muridae.
UAUUUACCCAUACUGGGGAGAGCCGC